GAAAGCCUAAGUAUCUAUGAUGAUAUUGAUGCUGAUGUGCUGAGAAACUACCAGGAAUUUACACUAGCAAAUAUUCUGUACUACUCCCUGAAAGAAUCCACCACCAGUGAGCAGAGUGCUAGGAUGACCGCUAUGGACAACGCUAGCAAAAAUGCUUCUGAGAUGAUUGACAAGCUGACCUUGACGUUCAACCGUACCCGUCAAGCCGUCAUUACCAAGGAGCUCAUUGAGAUCAUCUCCGGUGCCGCUGCUCUGGAUUAAUCGGAAAAAGAGGUUCAGCCAAUUCCAAGAGGUGAAGAAGAGCUCGUCUGAGCAUGUGCUGUUUAACCUGCCCGUGUCUGUGUUAACAAGACUGCUCUGUUAUUUUGUGAAGAAGUGGUAAAGCCUCAGAAAUCUGUAAAUUCUUACAAUAAACCACCUACAUGAAACAAA
This is a non-coding RNA of Leptosomus discolor (cuckoo roller), 432 nucleotides long. NCBI's taxonomy places the organism in Eukaryota, Metazoa, Chordata, Aves, Leptosomiformes, Leptosomidae. The record is from RefSeq and is a predicted model, not a curated record.